GACAGAGGAUGCAAGCGUUAUCCGGAUUCACUGGGUUUAAAGGGUGCGUAGGCGGGCAGGUAAGUCCGUGGUGAAAUCUCUGAGCUUAACUCAGAAACUGCCAUGGAUACUAUUUGUCUUGAAUAUUGUGGAGGUAAGCGGAAUAUGUCAUGUAGCGGUGAAAUGCUUAGAUAUGACAUAGAACACCAAUUGCGAAGGCAGCUUACUACACAGUUAUUGACGCUGAGGCACGAAAGCGUGGGGAUCAAACAGG
Molecule: ribosomal RNA, 253 nt
Filed under: uncultured bacterium
Lineage: Bacteria
Description: partial 16S ribosomal RNA
Rfam family: Bacterial small subunit ribosomal RNA
Source: RNAcentral